Molecule: ribosomal RNA, 468 nt
Filed under: uncultured bacterium
Lineage: Bacteria
Description: partial 16S ribosomal RNA
Rfam family: Bacterial small subunit ribosomal RNA
Source: RNAcentral
GACGAACGCUGGCGGCGUGCUUAACACAUGCAAGUCGAACGGAAAGGCCCUGCUUUUGUGGGGUGCUCGAGUGGCGAACGGGUGAGUAACACGUGAGUAACCUGCCCUUGACUUUGGGAUAACUUCAGGAAACUGGGGCUACUACCGGAUAGGAGCUCCUGCUGCAUGGUGGGGGUUGGAAAGUUUCGGCGGUUGGGGAUGGACUCGCGGCUUAUCAGCUUGUUGGUGGGGUAGUGGCUUACCAAGGCUUUGACGGGUAGCCGGCCUGAGAGGGUGACCGGCCACAUUGGGACUGAGAUACGGCGCAGACUCCUACGGGAGGCAGCAGUGGGGAAUAUUGCACAAUGGGCGGAAGCCUGAGGAAGAAACGCCGCGUGCGGGAUGACGGCCUUCGGGUUGUAAACCGCUUUCGCCUGUGACGAAGCGUGAGUGACGGUAAUGGGUAAAGAAGCACCGGCUAACUACGUG